RNAcentral lists this ribosomal RNA (490 nucleotides) under uncultured bacterium. Its description in RNAcentral is "partial 16S ribosomal RNA". It matches the Rfam family "Bacterial small subunit ribosomal RNA", at positions 29 to 507 of the family's 1533-position model. The record is from RNAcentral.
AGUGAACGCUGGCGGUAGGCCUAACACAUGCAAGUCGAACGGCAGCACAGGAGAGCUUGCUCUCUGGGUGGCGAGUGGCGGACGGGUGAGGAAUACAUCGGAAUCUGCCCAGUCGUGGGGGAUAACGUAGGGAAACUUACGCUAAUACCGCAUACGACCUUCGGGUGAAAGAGGGGGAUCGCAAGACCUCUCGCGAUUGGAUGAGCCGAUGUCGGAUUAGCUAGUUGGCGGGGUAAUGGCCCACCAAGGCGACGAUCCGUAGCUGGUCUGAGAGGAUGAUCAGCCACACUGGAACUGAGACACGGUCCAGACUCCUACGGGAGGCAGCAGUGGGGAAUAUUGGACAAUGGGCGCAAGCCUGAUCCAGCCAUACCGCGUGGGUGAAGAAGGCCUUCGGGUUGUAGAGCCCUUUUGUUGGGAAAGAAAUCUUUCAGGCUAAUACCCUGGGAGGAUGACGGUACCCAAAGAAUAAGCACCGGCUAACUUCGUG